CGAGCGGUUGCGCUGCGCGGCGAGCUGCUCGAGCUCGCCGCGUUCGGUCGGCGUCAGCCCGACGUAGACGGGCUUGUUCGACAUCGUGCCGCGCGGC
This 97-nucleotide transfer RNA is filed under the name Burkholderia ubonensis. RNAcentral's name for it is "tRNA-Gly". The record is from RNAcentral. Lineage: Bacteria; Pseudomonadati; Pseudomonadota; Betaproteobacteria; Burkholderiales; Burkholderiaceae.